GACCCAGGUAUGUUGAGCGAGAAGGGAUGGGCUGACUUACUCAGAUACCACGCCACAACACUAUAAAGGUGCCUCCUCAAGAUCUGCAGAGCACUUCAGAUUUCAACAUGAAGGCUAUCUUUUUCCUCGCUCUUGCAUCCCUCUUUGUCCUCGGUGCCGUCGAAGCCCAGACUGGGUGUGGCAUCAUCACUGUGUGUGUCGAGGACAGGAUCUGCGCGCUUGAGUGCCCCGGAUGCAAUGGUACCCCAAAUGUGUAUUACCAGUGGCUUCCUCGGCCAGUGCGAAUGUGAUACCAGCUAGGAUGGAAAGCCUUGGGACACGCUCUCUGAAGGUGCCGGUAGACAACGUGAAUGCUUGUUAAACGAAUUUAUCAAGAAUAAAGUUUCUUAUAUAAA
Haliotis rubra (blacklip abalone) is the source of this 395-nucleotide long non-coding RNA. RefSeq lists it as uncharacterized. The transcript has 3 exons. NCBI's taxonomy places the organism in Eukaryota, Metazoa, Mollusca, Gastropoda, Lepetellida, Haliotidae. The record is from RefSeq and is a predicted model, not a curated record.